GGUCUAGAGCCUCUCCUGUGAUCAGGUGGCCAACCAAAAUGAGGCAUGUGCCUUAUUGCCUGAGCACGCACCUUUUUCUUGGGGCAGGGUGCAACAAAGGCAUGCUGUUGUAUUUUAACUACCACCAUUUUUUUAUAUAUUUAUUUGAAUGUUAUUUUAUCUAUAUUAUUGAUGUAAGGUUGGACAUUUGUUUAUAUUGCAUUGUAAUUGGCCCAAUUUAAUUUAAAGCAACGAAAAAAGAAUAAGGGCAGUGACCAUAAACAUUUUCAAUUGAAAAUAACAUCAAA
RNAcentral lists this unclassified non-coding RNA (287 nucleotides) under Hevea brasiliensis (rubber tree). The record is from RNAcentral. Lineage: Eukaryota; Viridiplantae; Streptophyta; Magnoliopsida; Malpighiales; Euphorbiaceae.